Molecule: ribosomal RNA, 253 nt
Filed under: uncultured bacterium
Lineage: Bacteria
Description: partial 16S ribosomal RNA
Rfam family: Bacterial small subunit ribosomal RNA
Source: RNAcentral
GACAGAGGGGGCAAACGUUGCUCGGAAUUACUGGGCGUAAAGCGCGUGUAGGCGGACCGGAAAGUCGGGCGUGAAAUCCCUGGGCUCAACCCAGGAACUGCACUCGAAACUUCCGGCCUUGAGUGGUGGAGAGGGUAGUGGAAUUCCUGGUGUAGAGGUGAAAUGCGUAGAUAUCGUAAGGAAGACCAGUGGCGAAGGCGGGUCUCUGGACAGUUCCUGACGCUGAGGCACGAAGGUCAGGGGAGCAAACGGG